CAGCGCCAGCCUGACUGAGGAACAGGGCAGAGGAAGGUGACCCAAGAAUGGGGGCCUUUUUGGAGCAACUGGCUUAGUUAACUGGGAAUGUUUCCAGUUUCUCUUCAGGGACUGGCUGGGAUGAAGACACCGAGCCUCCUGCCCAGCCUGCCGGGCACAGGGCGAGGUUGGCCGGAGAAAGGAGAGAGGCCACAGAUACCCUGCAGAGAAGACACAAUUUUGAACAGGAGGAUUCAAGCAAUAGCUUCCUCAUCAAGAUCAAGCCUGGAAAGCCCCAGAGAAGGUGAAAGAGAUGUAUUCAGCGGGAAGCAGGAGCUGCUGUAAACGGCCACCUGGUUUGCGAAGAGAUUCAAGUACUUUAGAAUGGGACUGGCUACCUUCAUCCCCGAACAGGAACUGCUGCAAGGCCUGCUGCAGCCAUGGGCGAGCGGCUCUGGAGAUGGGUAAGUGGUCCAUGCACCCCAG
RNAcentral lists this long non-coding RNA (465 nucleotides) under Saimiri boliviensis boliviensis (Bolivian squirrel monkey). RNAcentral describes it as "lncRNA (ENSSBOG00000036586.1)". Lineage: Eukaryota; Metazoa; Chordata; Mammalia; Primates; Cebidae. The record is from RNAcentral.